CCUACGGGAGACAGCAGUGAGGAAUAUUGGUCAAUGGACGAGAGUCUGAACCAGCCAAGUAGCGUGAAGGAUGACUGCCCUAUGGGUUGUAAACUUCUUUUAUAUGGGAAUAAAAUGUUCCACGUGUGGGAUUUUGUAUGUACCAUAUGAAUAAGGAUCGGCUAACUCAGUGCCAGCAGCCGCGGUAAUACGGAGGAUCCGAGCGUUACCCGGAUUUAUUGGGUUUAACGGGAGCGUAGGUGGAUUGUUAAGUCAGUUGUGAAAGUUUGGGGCUCAACCGUAAAAUUGCAGUUGAAACUGGCAGUCUUGAGUACAGUAGAGGUGGGCGGAAUUCGUGGUGUAGCGGUGAAAUGCUUAGAUAUCACGAAGAACUCCGAUUGCGAAGGCAGUUCACUGGACUGCAACUGACACUGAGGCGCGAAAGUGUGGGUAUCAAACAGGAUUAGAUACCCCAGUAGUC
RNAcentral lists this ribosomal RNA (460 nucleotides) under uncultured bacterium. Its description in RNAcentral is "partial 16S ribosomal RNA". It matches the Rfam family "Bacterial small subunit ribosomal RNA", at positions 338 to 795 of the family's 1533-position model. The record is from RNAcentral.